CAGAGGGUGCGAGCGUUAAUCGGAAUUACUGGGCGUAAAGCGCGCGUAGGCGGCUUUGCAAGUCGGAUGUGAAAUCCCCAGGCUUAACCUGGGAACUGCAUUCGAGACUGCAUUGCUAGAGUAUGGGAGAGGGAAGUGGAAUUUCCGGUGUAGCGGUGAAAUGCGUAGAUAUCGGAAGGAACAUCAGUGGCGAAAGCGACUUCCUGGACCAAUACUGACGCUCAUGUGCGAAAGCGUGGGGAGCAAACAGGAUUAGAUACCCUGGUAGUCCACGCCAUAAACGAUGAGAACUGGAUGUCGGGAGGGUCUGCCUCUCGGUGUCGUAGCUAACGCGUUAAGUUCUCCGCCUGGGGAGUACGGCCGCAAGGUUG
RNAcentral lists this ribosomal RNA (371 nucleotides) under uncultured organism. Its description in RNAcentral is "bacterial SSU rRNA". It matches the Rfam family "Bacterial small subunit ribosomal RNA", at positions 526 to 896 of the family's 1533-position model. The record is from RNAcentral.